Molecule: long non-coding RNA, 1688 nt
Filed under: Marmota monax (woodchuck)
Lineage: Eukaryota; Metazoa; Chordata; Mammalia; Rodentia; Sciuridae
Source: RNAcentral
UUGGUAUCAAGUCUGGGUUGGUCAAGAUUUCGGUUAGUGGACUAGGAAAGUAGCCUUGCCCAGCAUGUGCAAGUCCCUGGGUUCAAUUCCCAGCACAAAAACAAAACAAAACAAAAUUUCAGUUCCGUCACCUGGUGGUCAUGUGACCUUGAUGAACAAAAAAACACCAAGCAUGGUGGUACUCGCCUGUAAUCCCAGCCACUGGGAAGGCUGAGGAAGGAGGGUCACAAGUUUGAGGCCAGCCUCAGCAAAUUAGUGGGACCUGUCUCAAAAAAUAGAAAGGACUGGGGAUGUGGCUUAGUUGUCAAAUGCCCCUGGGUUCAAUCCCUGGUACCAAAAAAAAAAAAAAAAGCCUAACUCAUCAUCUGCAAAACAGAAACAAUAUUUACCCUGCAGAAGUUUGCAGAUUUAGAAAUGAGGAUAGUAAAUGAUCAAUAGUAAAUGCUGUUACUGUUACUAUUUUCCAAACAUCCAGACUCACUAGGAUGGCUCUGGGACUCUCAUCUUUCUAAAAAGCAGGCCUCUCUUCUAGGAUCCAAGAUCCAAUUAUAGAGCAGUCCUAGAAUUCGCCUGCACUAGCGUGAUAGUAAGAAGCUGAUACUGAGGUAGGUGUGGUGGUGUCGUAAACAUGUGGUCCUUGCUGCUUGUGAGGAUGAGGCAAGAGGAUCACUUGAGCCCAGAAGUUGGGCAACAGAGCUAUAUUCUCCUAAAAAAGAAAGAAACAUUAAAAAAAAAAAAACAAAAAACUUAAUUUGACUGGAGGUUUAGCACAAUGGUGGAACACGUGCUUAGCAGGCAUAAGACCCUGAGUUCAAUCCCUAGCCCCCCAAAAUAAAAAAAUAAAGUAGUUACGUGUCACCCAGCGGUUACGGGCUCUUGUCUCCCUGUAGCCAGGAGACAUCUGGGGAAACAUCUUGAUCUGAAGGAGUGAGUUUAUUGGCCACCAGGUUGUGAGUCCUGUGGGACAAGGGCCUGGAAGCUUCCUCCUUUCCUCCUGGGUCUCGCAGCAGAAGGAACACAGAACUUUCUGGCGUUCUGAGUAGGAAGAGGCCACGUAGCUGCCUGUUCCCAUAGGAUUUGGGGCGGAGAGCCUUUGUGGAAGGCCCUAGUGACCACCCUCCUACUUUGCCUACCUGGGGGGGGGGGGGUGAGAAGCAGGGCUGGGGUAGGUGUGGUCCUCCAGCCCUAGGGGAGGGGACAGGGCCUAAAUGCAGGCCAAGUGUCCUGAGCUUUCCCUUCUUCUCUUCCCACCCCCAGCCUCCCAUCUCUGUCACCCAGUAUAACCCCCAUAGGUGAGCCUGGAAGGAGCCUCCCAAUUCCAGGCACACAAUGGGUGCUUACUAAUUGUUGGUGGAGUUGAAUCACACGCAGGCCAUUGAAUGGGAGGGAAGGGGCUUUCUGUGAACUCAGUCCAGGACAGGCAGCCUGUGGGUGGGCACCAUCCCAGGAUCAACUGCCGGCAGUGGAUGGGAGCCCCACCCUAUCGGGUAUGCCUGCUGCCGAAACCUGGCAGCCACCCCAGGUUCCUCCCAUCCCCCACCCCACCCCCAUGGCUCACUCUGCCUCCUCCUGAACUCAGCUCUACCGGCCCCCCCACCCCCAUCCUCCUCUAGGCUGCCAUGAUUUCCGGCCCAGAUGGCCGAGUUAUAAAUGAAACCUUGCACGUAGUCCUGCUCUCUUCUAACCUG